CAUCUGUCAGAAUUACACCCACUCGCUUUUGCUUAUGCCAAGAUCCCUAUAAACUAUUCACCAUCUUUCUCCAAACUGAAGUCUUGAACUCCCACCACACCAACUUGUUUUCCGACCACACCUUCCCAUUCUCAAUGGCACUUAAUUAAAGGAAGAUAGACACUAAAAAAAGGGGAAGAACCAAGGAGGCAAGAGGACUGGAAAAAAGAACCAUGAAAGCUAGCUGGAAAAGGAUGAAGGAAAGGUAGCUCAGUGUUGAUUUCGGCUAGGAGUCUUUCUUACAGGCAAAGGGAAAAGUAUUUUACAGAAAGAAGAUAGAAAUAUUGUGUUUGGCUGAGAGAAGACAGAGGCAAUGAGAAGACCUCAACGGGAGACCUAUUUUCGUUGCCGCCAUCCAUACCCACGCCGACAGUGGUUUAGAAUCUGCAACCCAAACAUCGAAAAUGUUUGGUUUUUGUGAGAUUUAGUACAAAAGUUGAAACAUUGGGUUUAUUUAAGGAAAAGGUCAUAUCUUUUGGCAAUAGGACUCAUUGCAAGCAAGAGAUGCAGUAGGAGUGAUUGCAAGGUUGGGAGAAUCAAGCUUUUUGGGUGCUGUUGUUGGAAUCCUUUCUUCGUCAACUAUCAUUUCGUUUUGGGUUCUGUAUGUGGGGAGUAAUGCUGGAAUAAGUGGGGAGUUUUUCUUAAUAUUAUGAACAUCAAUAACAGUUUUUUUAAUGCAAAAUAUAAACUUAAGUGGGAACUUAAGAUGGUCAUUUUGAUCUUAAGUUAUGAAUAAUAAAAAUAAACUAUUUCCAUGAAGACUAAAUUGAAUAACAGCUUAUUUGGAUUGUAAACAUUACAAAUU
Long non-coding RNA from Vigna unguiculata (cowpea), 844 nucleotides. The record is from RefSeq and is a predicted model, not a curated record. Lineage: Eukaryota; Viridiplantae; Streptophyta; Magnoliopsida; Fabales; Fabaceae.